CCGAGAAAUUUUGGAUCACUUCAGAUUAUAAGAUCAUGCAGUACCUUAUGAGGAAUAUUCCUGGUUCUCUUUUGUGUGACACAGUUGUUGGGCAGUAUCAAUACUGGCAGGAAUCUGACUGAACUGAUGAUGGCAUUUUAUUUUCAUUUCUUCAAUGGAUAUAUAUGCUUCAGUUGCUGAGAUCAGGCAGCUAUUGGGAACAGUUAACCAGUACUCUCAGAUUGGUAACUCCUACAGCGUUGCAUUUGGGAGCACUAUCUUUAUUCUUCCGCAUUGAGUGGACUAUGGGUUGAGAGUGGAAGCCCAGCAUAGGACUGAUGGAAGACAGUUCCUGUGGAGAGUUCUUCUUGGGGGAUAUUCAUGAUACUGAUUUGUUAGCGACUUUCUUGGCUGAGAGUUGGCAUGCAGUUAACCUUGCUCUUCAACCUAGAAGAGAACUUUAUGAACUACAUGGUGCUGUUAUUGGUACAACACAGUUGCUGAGCUGUAUAUCUUUCAGGAGGAAUACUAUUCCUCAUGCAGGAAUAGACUAUUUGGAAUCAGCAGGGCUUUCUUUCCGACAGCCUUGCUCUAUCAGAGCACUAUCACUAUUCCUCCGCCUUGAGUGGACUGAGGGCUGAGGGUGGCAGCCUAACACAGGACUGACAGGGGGGCAGUUCCUGUGGAGUUCUUCAUGGGGGAUACACAUGAUGCUGAUUGGAUAGAGAUUUCGUUGGCCAAGACAUUUCGGAUCACCUUAGAAUCCAAUUUUAUUACAGCACCUUAUGACAAACAUUCUUGGUUCUGUUAUUGGUGUGACGGAGUUGUUUAUCAGUAUAAAUAUUGGCAGGAUUUCUAAAUCCGAUCCGGUAGCAGUUAAUUUGAAUUUCUUCAAUAGAUGUGAUCCAGUUCCUCAG
This is a long non-coding RNA of Magallana angulata, 896 nucleotides long. RefSeq lists it as uncharacterized. The record is from RefSeq and is a predicted model, not a curated record. NCBI's taxonomy places the organism in Eukaryota, Metazoa, Mollusca, Bivalvia, Ostreida, Ostreidae. The transcript is spliced from 4 exons.